UUGCACAUUAUUCUCUAUUCUCAUCCAUAUCCCCCUUUACCAGUUAUUAGCAUUACAGAUGGCUAAUAUAUAAGAAAAAAAUGGUAAGCUACAUAAAUAUUUAUUACAAAAUAUAAGUACCUAUUAAUUGCAAUAUAACAUUCUCAGGUACAAUAAAUUUGAUCAAAUUAUAUACGCUUAAAGCUAUCGGUUAAAUAAAUAUUUAGGGUUGACUGCAAAAUUAAAUAUUGAUAAUUAGUCAUCAUAAAAAAACUUUUAAAUUAAUUUUUUUUUUAAAUAAAUUUGCCAUGUCCAUAAGUAUUCGAAAUCGUGUUAGUCACAUAUAUAGUUAUGAUCAUUCAAAAUUUUAAACAAAUAUAACAUUCUUUGAAUCUUGAAUCAUUUAAGGCGUGAUUUUUGUUUUGUUUGUAUUUAAAUGCUUGGUGUUAUGCCAAUUUAAUCCAUAAAACCACAAAAUAUGUAUAUGUAUCAAUUAAAUAAAUAGGGAAAAGUGUGCUAGCCAUUGAUCAUAUCCAGAAAAUGUAUUGUGUAUAUCUACAGUUACAUUAAGUACAUUACAUGGUAUUUCAAAGUAUCAUAAAUAGGAACCAGUUUAGGAGCACUAGCAAAUAUUUGACAAAUGAUGUUUCUCAUUUCGAGGCAACUUAACUUUAUAAAUGUUUUGUUUCUCUGAAAAUGUAGAUAUAUCAUGCCUAUAUGAAUAAUAACAUUUAUCCUGCAAUUGGGUGUCCUACUAUACAGAUACAGCCCUACAGAUAUCGCUAUGCUGUAUCUGUAUACUAUACAGAUAUCGCUU
RNAcentral lists this long non-coding RNA (796 nucleotides) under Mytilus galloprovincialis (Mediterranean mussel). The record is from RNAcentral. Lineage: Eukaryota; Metazoa; Mollusca; Bivalvia; Mytilida; Mytilidae.